RNAcentral lists this transfer RNA (20 nucleotides) under Pseudemys concinna (Suwannee river cooter). Its description in RNAcentral is "partial tRNA-Ser". The record is from RNAcentral. Lineage: Eukaryota; Metazoa; Chordata; Testudines; Emydidae.
AGAGAGGUGAUUCACAAUAA